UACGGAGGGUGCAAGCGUUAUCCGGAUUCACUGGGUUUAAAGGGUGCGUAGGUGGGUUGAUAAGUCAGUGGUGAAAUCCCCGAGCUUAACUUGGGAACUGCCAUUGAUGCUAUUGAUCUUGAAUACCGUGGAGGUCAGCGGAAUAUGUCAUGUAGCGGUGAAAUGCUUAGAUAUGACAUAGAACACCAAUUGCGAAGGCAGCUGGCUACACAAUUAUUGACACUGAGGCUCGAAAGCGUGGGGAUCAAACAGG
RNAcentral lists this ribosomal RNA (253 nucleotides) under uncultured bacterium. RNAcentral's name for it is "partial 16S ribosomal RNA". It matches the Rfam family "Bacterial small subunit ribosomal RNA", at positions 524 to 776 of the family's 1533-position model. The record is from RNAcentral.